This 217-nucleotide ribosomal RNA is filed under the name Acinetobacter baumannii. RNAcentral's name for it is "partial 16S ribosomal RNA". It matches the Rfam family "Bacterial small subunit ribosomal RNA", at positions 1 to 218 of the family's 1533-position model. Lineage: Bacteria; Pseudomonadati; Pseudomonadota; Gammaproteobacteria; Moraxellales; Moraxellaceae. The record is from RNAcentral.
UUUAACUGAAGAGUUUGAUCAUGGCUCAGAUUGAACGCUGGCGGCAGGCUUAACACAUGCAAGUCGAGCGGGGGAAGGUAGCUUGCUACUGGACCUAGCGGCGGACGGGUGAGUAAUGCUUAGGAAUCUGCCUAUUAGUGGGGGACAACAUCUCGAAAGGGAUGCUAAUACCGCAUACGUCCUACGGGAGAAAGCAGGGGAUCUUCGGACCUUGCGC